This 487-nucleotide ribosomal RNA is filed under the name uncultured Gammaproteobacteria bacterium. RNAcentral's name for it is "bacterial SSU rRNA". It matches the Rfam family "Bacterial small subunit ribosomal RNA", at positions 252 to 728 of the family's 1533-position model. Lineage: Bacteria; Pseudomonadati; Pseudomonadota; Gammaproteobacteria. The record is from RNAcentral.
GUGGGGUAACGGCUCACCUAGGCGACGAUCCCUAGCUGGUCUGAGAGGAUGACCAGCCACACUGGUAACUGAGACACGGUCCAGACUCCUACGGGAGGCAGCAGUGGGGAAUAUUGCACAAUGGGCGCAAGCCUGAUGACAGCCAUGCCGCGUGUAUGAAGAAGGCCUUCGGGUUGUAAAGUACUUUCAGCGAGGAGGAAGGCACUGUGGUUAAUAACCACAGUGAUUGACGUUACUCGCAGAAGAAGCACCGGUCUAACUCCGUGCCAGCAGCCGCGGUAAUACGGAGGGGGCAAGCGUUAAUCGGAAUUACUGGGCGUAAAGCGCACGCAGGCGGUCUGUCAAGUCGGAUGUGAAAUCCCCGGGCUCAACCUGGGAACUGCAUUCUAAACUGGCAGGCUAGAGUCUUGUAGAGGGGGGUAGAAUUCCACGUGUAGCGGUGAAAUGCGUAUAGAUCUGGAGGAAUACCGGUGGCGAAAGCGGCCCC